ACGGUUUCUGAGAAUUUCCACUCUGAAUUCACAUUCCGUUCAGUGUUAUCGCCACCCUGUGGAUUUCUUGGGUAAUGAAACUCAGACCGGGAAAUGAAAACGGGGAUUUUCAGUAAAUCGGUUCCAGUAAAUCUCUGCUGCUCUUGUGGGCGCCCUCUUUUGAGCACCGGAGGAAUGAGCACCGUUCUUCAUUCUUUUGGUUUUGUAAAGUUGUAGAGCUGCGUUCAUAACUACCUCGCUGGCUUUGAGCACAACCCAGGAAGAAGUUUGAAACCAAGAAAAUGGUGGUUGGGAAGACCAGGAUGCGCAAUGGCAAGUUGAGGGCAAGCGGGGUACGUGUCCUGAAUUUAUAGAAUCUUUUGACACAAAGCAAGAGAGCCACAGUCAAGACUCAAGUCAAAAGAAAUUUAGACCCCAUCUGGGCAAACAGGCCUCUAAGCAACAAUCUAAGAUUUCCACCUAUUGUUCUGGCAUUCCUUGUAUAAAUGAUUAUGACUGCAGAGAUCUUAGGAAGUGCUGUGGUACCUUUAGAUGUGGCCUGAGGUGCAUACAUCCUCUUAUGAUUGGCCCUGUAUUUUUCAAUUCACCUCCACAAUCCAAGGCAUAAAUAUUGGAUGGAGAAAUGGAUUCAGAUGGAGGCAUCAUUGAGCUUAUUCUUGACUCAUCUCAGUCCAAACAUUACUCUGUCAAUCGUUGUUCUUAAAAUCUGCAUAUUAAAAGCUCAGCAUCAAC
Homo sapiens (human) is the source of this 732-nucleotide long non-coding RNA. Ensembl annotates it as long intergenic non-protein coding RNA 2366. Lineage: Eukaryota; Metazoa; Chordata; Mammalia; Primates; Hominidae. The record is from Ensembl.